RNAcentral lists this ribosomal RNA (253 nucleotides) under uncultured bacterium. Its description in RNAcentral is "partial 16S ribosomal RNA". It matches the Rfam family "Bacterial small subunit ribosomal RNA", at positions 524 to 776 of the family's 1533-position model. The record is from RNAcentral.
UACGUAGGGUGCGAGCGUUAAUCGGAAUUACUGGGCGUAAAGCGUGCGCAGGCGGUUUUGUAAGCCAGGUGUGAAAUCCCCGGGCUCAACCUGGGAAUGGCAUUUGGGACUGCAAGGCUGGAGUGCGGCAGAGGAGACUGGAAUUCCUGGUGUAGCAGUGAAAUGCGCAGAUAUCAGGAAGAACACCCGUGGCGAAGGCGGCUCUCUGGAACGCAACUGACGCUGAGACGCGAAAGCGUGGGGAGCAAACAGG